This is a long non-coding RNA of Eleginops maclovinus (Patagonian blennie), 499 nucleotides long. RefSeq lists it as uncharacterized. The transcript has 3 exons. NCBI's taxonomy places the organism in Eukaryota, Metazoa, Chordata, Actinopteri, Perciformes, Eleginopidae. The record is from RefSeq and is a predicted model, not a curated record.
ACCAGUCAAGAUUGUAACGUUUGGAAAUAAGAGACUUUAUGGACACUUUACCCCCGUGGAGGACAGGACAACGACUUAUUCAAACAGGAUAAGUCAACAUUAAGAUGAAUGAUGUCAUGAAUAAAGGAGGAUGAUGAUGAAGAUGACAGAAGGAUGAAACAUGACUUGAGGAGCUGCAGCAGAUGUGUGUUGUGUCAAACGACCCUCUCGUCUAGGUCGAAAACGACAGUCUUUUUAUGAGCCUACACUGUUAUGAAGACUCCCACCAGUCGAUGUAGAAAAUGUUUCUUUAUACAUAUAUAUAAAAUGACUAAACUAGCCCUAUGCACAGAGCGCUACCAGCUUGAUGGAUGACUCACAGUAAUGCUGUGAAAUGGCUCAACCCACACACACAGCCACUCGCUAAAACACACACUCAUACUAACUAUUGCAGCACAACACCCGAGCAAACCCAUACUGUAUAAACCCAUGUAGCACACACACACACACACACACACAC